ACAUGCCCUGCAAGAUUGCGUGUGUGGACAGASCCAAUGGACUCUCCGCAUGAGAUGAGCCCUUUAGGAUUCAUGAUGCAGGAUUUGCAUGAUUAACCUUUAAGGGACACUGCAAAACUGAAGAGUGACGUUUUCGAAUGGGGAACCCACAUCUUGCCCUUUUGACUAUUUAAAUCCCCUUAUAAAAUAAACGGCUACUCGCUGGAACGUUA
Molecule: long non-coding RNA, 212 nt
Organism: Nothoprocta perdicaria
Lineage: Eukaryota; Metazoa; Chordata; Aves; Tinamiformes; Tinamidae
Exons: 3
Source: RefSeq, a predicted model, not a curated record